CAGAGUUCGUGCCCUCACGGGUAGAUCUCCCACCCUGUGUUAUUAUACCUUUGUUGCUUUGGCGGGCCGCCCUCGGCUACCGGCCCCGGCUGGUACGCGCCCGCCAGAGGACCCCAAACUCUGAAUGUUAGUGUCGUCUGAGUACUAUACAAUAGUUAA
This 159-nucleotide unclassified non-coding RNA is filed under the name uncultured fungus. RNAcentral describes it as "sequence contains ITS1". The record is from RNAcentral. Lineage: Eukaryota; Fungi.